AAUCAACGCUGGCGGCGUGCCUCAGACAUGCAAGUCGAACGAGAAAGUUUCCUUCGGGAGACGAGUACAGUGGCGUCCGGGUGAGUAACACGUGGGUAAUUUACCUUUGGGUGGGGAAUAGCAGCCGGAAACGGCUAUUAAUACCCGCAUAAUGCAGGCGGCUCGACAUCGAGACAGUUGUUAAAGCGGGGAUCUGACAAGGACCUCGCGCCUAAAGAGAAGCCUGCGUCA
Molecule: ribosomal RNA, 231 nt
Filed under: uncultured bacterium
Lineage: Bacteria
Description: partial 16S ribosomal RNA
Rfam family: Bacterial small subunit ribosomal RNA
Source: RNAcentral